UACGAAGGGGGCUAGCGUUGUUCGGAAUUACUGGGCGUAAAGCGCACGUAGGCGGAUAUUUAAGUCGGGGGUGAAAUCCCGGGGCUCAACCCCGGAACUGCCUUCGAUACUGGGUAUCUUGAGUUCGGAAGAGGUGAGUGGAAUUCCGGGUGUAGCGGUGAAAUGCGUAGAUAUCCGGAGGAACACCGGUGGCGAAGGCGGCUUCCUGGACCGACACUGACGCUGAGGCGCGAAAGCUAGGGGAGCAAACGGG
This 253-nucleotide ribosomal RNA is filed under the name uncultured bacterium. RNAcentral's name for it is "partial 16S ribosomal RNA". It matches the Rfam family "Bacterial small subunit ribosomal RNA", at positions 524 to 776 of the family's 1533-position model. The record is from RNAcentral.